RNAcentral lists this ribosomal RNA (292 nucleotides) under uncultured bacterium. Its description in RNAcentral is "partial 16S ribosomal RNA". The record is from RNAcentral.
GGACUACAGGGGUUUCUAAUCCGGUUCGCUCCCCACGCUUUCGCGCCUCAGCGUCAGGUACAGCCCAGUCGGCCGCCUUCGCCACUGGUGUUCCUCCCGAUCUCUACGCAUUUCACCACUCCACCGGGAAUUCCACCGACCUCUGCUGCCCUCAAGCCUGCCAGUAUCCCAUGCCGUGUUCCGGUUGAGCCGAAACCUUUCACAUCGAACUUAACAGGCCGCCUACGCGCGCUUUACGCCCAGUAAAUCCGGACAACGCUCGCCACCUACGUAUUACCGCGGCGGCUGGCAC